This 199-nucleotide ribosomal RNA is filed under the name uncultured bacterium. RNAcentral's name for it is "partial 16S ribosomal RNA". It matches the Rfam family "Bacterial small subunit ribosomal RNA", at positions 1306 to 1500 of the family's 1533-position model. The record is from RNAcentral.
UGCAACUCGACUGNACGAAGCUGGAAUCGCUAGUAAUCGCGGAUCAGCACGCCGCGGUGAAUACGUUCCCGGGCCUUGUACACACCGCCCGUCACACCAUGGAAGUCUGCAAUGCCCGAAGCCGGUGGCCUAACCACUUAUGUGGAAGGAGCCGUCUAAGGCAGGGCAGAUGACUGGGGUGAAGUCGUAACAAGGUACC